Molecule: ribosomal RNA, 477 nt
Filed under: uncultured bacterium
Lineage: Bacteria
Description: bacterial SSU rRNA
Rfam family: Bacterial small subunit ribosomal RNA
Source: RNAcentral
GAACGCUAGCGGCAGGCUUAACACAUGCAAGUCGAGGGGUAGAGGAAGCUUGCUUCCUUGAGACCGGCGCACGGGUGCGUAACGCGUAUGCAACCUACCUUUUACUAGAGGAUAGCCCAGAGAAAUUUGGAUUAAUACCUCAUAGUAUGUGAGAAUCGCAUGGUUUUCACAUUAAAGUUCCAACGGUAAAAGAUGAGCAUGCGUCCCAUUAGCUAGAUGGUAAGGUAACGGCUUACCAUGGCGACGAUGGGUAGGGGUCCUGAGAGGGAGAUCCCCCACACUGGUACUGAGACACGGACCAGACUCCUACGGGAGGCAGCAGUGAGGAAUAUUGGACAAUGGGCGCAAGCCUGAUCCAGCCAUGCCGCGUGCAGGAUGACGGUCCUAUGGAUUGUAAACUGCUUUUGUACAGGAAGAAACACUCCCUCGUGAGGGAGCUUGACGGUACUGUAAGAAUAAGGAUCGGCUAACUCCGUG